GAUGAAGAACGCAGCUAAAUGCGAUACGUAAUGUGAAUUGCAAAUUCAGUGAAUCAUCGAGUCUUUGAACGCACAUUGCGCCCCCUGGUAUUCCGGGGGGCAUGCCUGUCCGAGCGUCAUUGCUGCCCUCAAGCACGGCUUGUGUGUUGGGCCUCCGUCCUCCUCCCGGGGGACGGGCCCGAAAGGCAGCGGCGGCACCGCGUCCGGUCCUCGAGCGUAUGGGGCUUCGUCACCCGCUCUUGUAGGCCCGGCCGGCGCUUGCCGACACAUCAAUCUUUUUUCCAGGUUGACCUCGGAUCAGGUAGGGAUACCCGCUGAACUUAAGCAUAUCAAUAAGCGGAGGA
RNAcentral lists this unclassified non-coding RNA (344 nucleotides) under soil metagenome. RNAcentral describes it as "partial contains 5.8S ribosomal RNA, internal transcribed spacer 2, and large subunit ribosomal RNA". The stretch from base 1 to 119 matches the Rfam family "5.8S ribosomal RNA", at positions 35 to 154 of the family's 154-position model. The record is from RNAcentral.